Molecule: long non-coding RNA, 744 nt
Filed under: Pan troglodytes (chimpanzee)
Lineage: Eukaryota; Metazoa; Chordata; Mammalia; Primates; Hominidae
Description: long non-coding RNA NONPTRT010057
Source: RNAcentral
CGCGCCCGGCCGCUGCCGCCGGACGCUUGAAAAGGAACAAGAGGAUUUAUCUGACUCAACUGGAGAUGGCUCCCUUCCCUAAUUUAUUGUUGCAUCCUGAAGCUUCCCCCAUGCUGGGCUCAGUGUGAACAAACAGCGCGGGAGAAUGCAACCACUGCAGAGAAGAGGGGCUUGAGCAGAGAGAAUGCUUAGAGGCUAAGCGAUGGGCAAGUGAGAGGGAAAGAGCCGCGACAGACAGAGCUGGCUGCCUAGGGGUCUCAGAGGCUUCAUCCUGCAGGCGGCAGGCGGCAGGACAAAGGGACCUUCGCACUCGAGAUCAAGAUUCCAAGGAGUUAAACGCUACCACGCAGCCCGACCUGGAUGGGAUUUGCUCCUGGGUACAAAACGGGACACUGAUCAAAAUCAACUUGGACAAGUGACAAGAGUGAGUCUUAUGUCGGUGGAUGUCUUUUAAGGUCGUUGGAGGGAAGAGGACGGGAGGGGUGUGCCGAGGGGUAGGUGGAGAGAGGCACCGAGUCCAGAGCCGGGAUAUAAAUGCACCAGGAGCCGGGGAGCAGAGGAGCAAAUGAGUGGGGGAAAGAGUGAGAGGAAGAGUUGGAGAAAAGUCGGGGGAAAGUAGGGACAGGGUUAAGGGGAGAGAGGAGGAUGAGGGCGGCGAGGAGAGAUUAAAAGGGGAAGGGGGGUCGCUGGAGAGGAGGGCGGACUGUGGAUCGGAGGUAGGGAGAGGGGCGAGGGGAGUGCGCG